UCUAAAAGCAUGCCCACCUCCCUGAGAGUGUGUUCCCUGUAGAGACUGCCCUUGCCGUUUUUGGUUCUUGGAAGAAUUGGUCCUGCAGUGUCAUCCCCUCCAUGUCCUUGAGAAAAACAGUAAUGGAUGAAAAAAGAUUAAAAGCUGUACUGCCCUGACUUCAUUCUGUAUGAAAGCAUUUAAUUUUUCUAAUACAAGAUGAUUCCAAGAGCUCACCAAUCCUAUUGUUAAUAAAGAAAACUGAUACUCAUUAAAGCUUGUUGUAUUAGCUUUAGUUGGUGAUUCUAUUCCUGUGAAGAAAAAUAAUUUUCUCCUUCUUCUCUGGAAGUAUUCUUAGGCAAGCCCCAUCUUAGUGAAUGCAGCUUCCAUCUGCCCUGUGGACAAGCCUCCCUCUUUGUCAUCCCUCACAGUCCUUCCAUCAGCAAGUCCUAUCCAUUUUACUUCCUAAAGAACUAUCGGAUCCAUCUGCUUCUCCUCUCUUGCCUGGGCCAUUGGAAGAGCCUUCUAACUAGACUCUUUCCCAUAAUCUUUUCCCCUUCUGAUCACUCACAAUCUGAUCCUGUCACUCACCCCUUUACUUAAAAACUCUUUAGUGGCUUCUUUUUGCCCUUAGAAUAACAUGUCAGG
Manis javanica (Malayan pangolin) is the source of this 627-nucleotide non-coding RNA. The record is from RefSeq and is a predicted model, not a curated record. Lineage: Eukaryota; Metazoa; Chordata; Mammalia; Pholidota; Manidae.